Molecule: small RNA, 27 nt
Filed under: Bombyx mori (domestic silkworm)
Lineage: Eukaryota; Metazoa; Arthropoda; Insecta; Lepidoptera; Bombycidae
Description: ovarian small RNA-31624
Source: RNAcentral
UGACCGUAUAAUAGAGUUUGCGGGUCC